GUUUUGCCGCACACAAAAUCGCCACCGCUUCCUCCCCCGCCGCCGCCGCCGCCUCGCAUGGCCGUCGCCACUGCCGGAACCUCUGCCAUCACAACCUCUUCCAUCUCAACAACCCCUCACUUCUCCUCCUCCCCAUUCCUCGGCCUCAAAAUGUCCCUCCGUCUCCACUCCGCCGCCUCUCCGCCACCUGUCGCCGCCGUCUCCUGCACCCCCACCCGUGCCUCCGCCGCCGUGGAGGUGGUGAACGGGCGGUCGACCGAGGCGCUGCGGCCGGACUCGUUCGGCCGGUUCGGGAGGUUCGGCGGGAAGUAUGUACCGGAAACCCUGAUGCACGCGCUUACGGAGUUGGAGACGGCGUUCCGCGCUCUCGCUAAAGACGAGGAGUUUCAGAAAGAAUUGAGUGGGAUUCUUAAAGACUAUGUUGGUCGGGAGAGCCCACUUUACUUUGCAGAACGUCUCACAGAUCAUUAUCGACGUUCAAACGGUGAAGGACCUCACAUAUAUCUGAAAAGGGAAGAUCUCAAUCACACUGGUGCUCAUAAGAUCAAUAAUGCUGUUGCACAAGCUUUACUUGCAAAACGACUUGGAAAGAAACGUAUAAUAGCCGAAACAGGAGCAGGCCAACAUGGUGUUGCAACAGCUACAGUCUGUGCAAGGUUUGGUUUGACAUGCAUAAUCUAUAUGGGUGCUCAAGAUAUGGAG
RNAcentral lists this unclassified non-coding RNA (702 nucleotides) under Hevea brasiliensis (rubber tree). Lineage: Eukaryota; Viridiplantae; Streptophyta; Magnoliopsida; Malpighiales; Euphorbiaceae. The record is from RNAcentral.